GACGAACGCUGGCGGCGUGCUUAACACAUGCAAGUCGAACGGGUCUGCCCUGUUUUUUGCGGGGUGGGUCAGUGGCGAACGGGUGAGUAACACGUGAGUAACCUGCCCCUCACUUCUGGAUAACCGCUUGAAAGGGUGGCUAAUACGGGGUGUUUUGGCUGUGCCGCAUGGUGUGGCUGGGAAAGAUUCACUUUUGUGGUGUUUUGGUGGGGGAUGGGCUCGCGGCCUAUCAGCUUGUUGGUGGGGUGAUGGCCUGCCAAGGCUUUGACGGGUAGCCGGCCUGAGAGGGUGGGCGGUCACACUGGGACUGAGAUACGGCCCAGACUCCUGCGGGAGGCAGCAGUGGGGGGUAUUGCACAAUGGGCGGAAGCCUGAUGCAGCGACGUCGCGUGAGGGAUGGAGGCCUUCGGGUUGUGAACCUCUUUCGCCGGUGAAGAAGGUCCUGCUCUUUGUGGUGGGGUUGACGGUAGCCGGGUUAUGAAGCGCCGGCUAACUACGUG
This 500-nucleotide ribosomal RNA is filed under the name uncultured bacterium. Its description in RNAcentral is "partial 16S ribosomal RNA". It matches the Rfam family "Bacterial small subunit ribosomal RNA", at positions 28 to 507 of the family's 1533-position model. The record is from RNAcentral.